RNAcentral lists this long non-coding RNA (409 nucleotides) under Mus spicilegus (steppe mouse). RNAcentral describes it as "lncRNA (ENSMSIG00000020637.1)". The record is from RNAcentral. Lineage: Eukaryota; Metazoa; Chordata; Mammalia; Rodentia; Muridae.
GGCACAACUCAUACCUAUUUUAAAGAUGAAGAAUUGGAGAGUCAUAGAAUCAUAGUCAGGCUUAUAAAUCGCAAACCUAGAAGUUAAAUUCUGUCAUGCCUGGCUAAAGAGUCCAGGCUUCCCCCAAUAGAAAUUUAUAGAUUCAUUAAUGGUUUUAACUUCAAUUGGCUGCAACUGGCCUCCUCAUUAUGAACCUCCUCAGAUAGACCUCUUCAGAGGUGUGUCUAAGCUACUCAGAGAAUGGCACCUGGAAAGAUGUUAUGAAAAGUGUUGAUGUCAUCAGAUUCAAGGGGAGUCUGAGAACCUGUCAUGGCCAGUUGGAGCCUCCAGAGACACCAUAAGCAAUGCCAUAUCCUGGGAGAGAUCCUGGGACAGAGAAAGGACAUGAGGUUAAAAAAAGAACUAAGGG